This 76-nucleotide transfer RNA is filed under the name Bulleidia extructa. Its description in RNAcentral is "tRNA-Thr". It matches the Rfam family "tRNA". From Rfam's summary of the family: Transfer RNA (tRNA) molecules are approximately 80 nucleotides in length. Their secondary structure includes four short double-helical elements and three loops (D, anti-codon, and T loops). RNAcentral also lists the same sequence under 3 other names. The record is from RNAcentral. Lineage: Bacteria; Bacillati; Bacillota; Erysipelotrichia; Erysipelotrichales; Erysipelotrichaceae.
GCCGACUUGGCUCAAUUGGCAGAGCAAUUGAUUUGUAAUCAAUAGGUUGUAGGUUCGAUUCCUAUAGUCGGCACCA